GAUGAACGCUGGCGGCGUGCCUAAUACAUGCAAGUCGAGCGAACAGACGAGGAGCUUGCUCCUCUGACGUUAGCGGCGGACGGGUGAGUAACACGUGGAUAACCUACCUAUAAGACUGGGAUAACUUCGGGAAACCGGAGCUAAUACCGGAUAAUAUAUUGAACCGCAUGGUUCAAUAGUGAAAGACGGUUUUGCUGUCACUUAUAGAUGGAUCCGCGCCGCAUUAGCUAGUUGGUAAGGUAACGGCUUACCAAGGCAACGAUGCGUAGCCGACCUGAGAGGGUGGUCGGCCCCACUGGAACUGAGACACGGUCCAGACUCCUACGGGAGGCAGCAGUAGGGAAUCUUCCGCAAUGGGCGAAAGCCUGACGGAGCAACGCCGCGUGAGUGAUGAAGGUCUUCGGAUCGUAAAACUCUGUUAUUAGGGAAGAACAAAUGUGUAAGUAACUAUGCACGUCUUGACGGUCCCUAAUCAGAAAGCCACGGCUAACUACGUGC
RNAcentral lists this ribosomal RNA (498 nucleotides) under uncultured bacterium. RNAcentral's name for it is "partial 16S ribosomal RNA". It matches the Rfam family "Bacterial small subunit ribosomal RNA", at positions 28 to 508 of the family's 1533-position model. The record is from RNAcentral.